Molecule: long non-coding RNA, 430 nt
Organism: Halichondria panicea
Lineage: Eukaryota; Metazoa; Porifera; Demospongiae; Suberitida; Halichondriidae
Exons: 3
Source: RefSeq, a predicted model, not a curated record
AUGGUCUCUAUUUGGGACGGUUAAAGGUCACAAAGGUCAAAAGUAAUAUUGGGUCAAUUUAAUAAUCGUCUGAAGAAACACACGUCAAGAAACAGAUUCUCGAUCUCUAUAGCUCUUUGCUGGUCAUUUAAUAAAAAUCAAUAAAUAUGGCUGGUGGUGGUGAUCCUGCAGCAGCUGCAGCAUUGAGGGGCUGGCAAGUCUAUUUUAACACUGUUACAGUGGCAGGAAGAAGAAAUCUUGUCCUGGCAACAUGGGGGACGGUGAUUGGACUUUACUCUCUUGUGAAGUGGAGGAAGAACGCCAAAGCUAGAAAAGCUUUGAAAGCUGCCUAAAAAACCUCACUAGAACAUCAGUGUACACAUGUAGACAUUAAUUAGUAGUAUAAUUAUGUGACUGUAAUGUUGUGGUUCAUAAGUAUAGUGUCUGGAAA